GAUCAUGGCUCAGGAUGAACGCUAGCGGCAGGCUUAACACAUGCAAGUCGAGGGGAAGCAUAAUGGAUAGCAAUAUCUAUGGUGGCGACCGGCGCACGGGUGCGUAACGAGUAUGCAACCUACCUUUAACAGGGGGAUAACACUGAGAAAUUGGUACUAAUACCCCAUAAUAUCACAGAAGGCAUCUUUUAUGGUUGAAAAUUCCGAUGGUUAGAGAUGGGCAUGCGUUGUAUUAG
Molecule: ribosomal RNA, 236 nt
Filed under: uncultured bacterium
Lineage: Bacteria
Description: partial 16S ribosomal RNA
Rfam family: Bacterial small subunit ribosomal RNA
Source: RNAcentral